CGAGAACUAUCGCAUCACGCCA
RNAcentral lists this non-coding RNA (22 nucleotides) under Arabidopsis thaliana (thale cress). Lineage: Eukaryota; Viridiplantae; Streptophyta; Magnoliopsida; Brassicales; Brassicaceae. The record is from RNAcentral.